Molecule: ribosomal RNA, 490 nt
Filed under: uncultured bacterium
Lineage: Bacteria
Description: partial 16S ribosomal RNA
Rfam family: Bacterial small subunit ribosomal RNA
Source: RNAcentral
ACUCAAAUGAAUAGACGGGGACCCGCACAACCAGUGGAGCGUGUGGUUCAAUUCGAGACGAAGCGAAGAACCUCACCAGGACUUGACAUGCAAGCGUUCAACUUUAGUGAAAGUUAGAGUGUCCGCAAGGAGGCUUGCACAGGUGCUGCAUGGCUGUCGUCAGCUCGUGCCGUGAGGUGUUCCCUUAAGUGGGGAAACGAGUGCAACCCCCAUCCAAUGUUACAUAUUCAUUGGAGACAGUCCCGCCUUAUGGCGGGAAGGAAGGAGGGGCGGACGUCAAGUCAGCAUGGCCCUUAUGUCCUGGGCUACACACACCCUACAAUGGCGAAUAACAACGGGUUGCAAGCCGGUAACGGCAAGCUAAUCCCUAAAAUUUCGCCUCAGUUCAGAUUGAGGGCUGAAAUUCGUCCUCAUGAAGUCGGAAUUGGUAGUAAUCGCGGAUCAGCAGGUCGCGGUGAAUACGUUCUCGGGUCUUGUACACACCGCCCGU